RNAcentral lists this long non-coding RNA (333 nucleotides) under Homo sapiens (human). RNAcentral describes it as "HSALNT0332482". Lineage: Eukaryota; Metazoa; Chordata; Mammalia; Primates; Hominidae. The record is from RNAcentral.
CAGAGCUAGACUGCAGAAGAAAAAGAGAAAGAGAGGGGAGAAGAGGUCAAGUGUGGAAACAGCAAGAAGGCUGCUGUCUGCAAGCCAAGAAGAGAGCCCUCGCCAGAAACCAAAUUAUCCAGACCCUGGAUAUUGGAUUUCCAGCCUCCAGAAUGCUCCUUGAGGUGCAACUGCAUUACAUUUCUACUGACCAGUACUGUGCCAGAUUGAUGACCAGCCAAUACUUGAGUGUUUAUGAUAUGGCAGCAGCUGUUUAACCACCUAAAAGUACUGUAGACCUAGCAUACCCACACUUCCUAUAAGAAAGAUACGGCUAAGACCGCAGGCAUGGUG